UAGGGAAUCUUCGGNNNNUGGGGGCNACCCUGACCGAGCAACGCCGCGUGAGUGAAGAAGGUUUUCGGAUCGUAAAGCUCUGUUGUAAGUCAAGAACGAGUGUGAGAGUGGAAAGUUCACACUGUGACGGUAGCUUACCAGAAAGGGACGGCUAACUACGUGCCAGCAGCCGCGGUAAUACGUAGGUCCCGAGCGUUGUCCGGAUUUAUUGGGCGUAAAGCGAGCGCAGGCGGUUUGAUAAGUCUGAAGUUAAAGGCUGUGGCUCAACCAUAGUUCGCUUUGGAAACUGUCAAACUUGAGUGCAGAAGGGGAGAGNGGAAUUCCAUGUGUAGCGGUGAAAUGCGUAGAUAUAUGGAGGAACACCGGUGGCGAAAGCGGCUCUCUGGUCUGUAACUGACGCUGAGGCUCGAAAGCGUGGGGAGCGAACAGGAUUAGAUACCCUGGUAGUCCACGCCGUAAACGAUGAGUGCUAGGUGUUGGAUCCUUUCCGGGAUUCAGUGCCGCAGCUAACGCAUUUAAGCACUCCGCCUGGGGAGUACGACCGCAAGGUUGA
This 553-nucleotide ribosomal RNA is filed under the name uncultured bacterium. Its description in RNAcentral is "bacterial SSU rRNA". It matches the Rfam family "Bacterial small subunit ribosomal RNA", at positions 355 to 897 of the family's 1533-position model. The record is from RNAcentral.